AGUUCCAAGUUUUAAUCAUCCAUGAUCCCUCUUUGUCAAGUGCUUAUCUGUAAAGGAGAUUAAAAGACUAAGCCUUCCUUUCUUAUUUUUCCCUCUCUUGGAUGAGAAGCUAUAGCUCCUCAUUUUCAAUUUGAGUUCUUACUUUUGGAACCAAUGUGACUAGAGGGUAAAAAUACCGAAUCAAGUGAAGUAGUAAACAACAAAUCAUGAAUCAACAAAUUAGUGAAAAAAUAAGUUAACAUGAUAUAGAUAAGUGAUAAAAAAUUUAGAAGACAACAUAAAUUGUUUGAAAGCAUAUUCUUACAUUGCCACCUCAGCCAUCUCAAUUAAAUAACAUUAAUUCUAUAUUUUUCCAUUUUAGCUUUGAUGGUAACAAGUCAAUAUGUUAUGUUUCUCAUUUCUUCUGUAAAUCCCAUAGCUUCUGUAAUUCCAAACAAUACAUUUCCUAUUGCAAAUCUGCCCAUUUUGUCACCCUUAACUUAAAAUGUACGUCGUUUCUCAACCUUAAUUAUUGCACAAUCAAAACACUUCUCUUUCCUUUCAUCUACCCUUCAAUAUUUUCUGUCUAACCAGGGACAAUCGUCACUCCACAUCAUCACUUCCCACUUUCACCGCAUUCUUUCCCCUGUCAGAAGGGCAUGAAGGAUCUCACAAGUGCCACAAAUUCAAGGCCAACAAAUAAUCAUCAAGUCUUCAUCUUAAGCUAUUUUUCAUUUUCUAUUGAUUAUUACAUUUUAACACUUAAAUAAAAGAUCUUUGAGAAGGAUUAUAUAUAUUUCAUUAAGGAGCAAAUUAACAACACUGAAGCUUAGGAAGAACUUGACGUUGUUGUCUUUAAUAACAUCAUGAAGGUAUGCAAAAUAACUUUUAUGGCUUCUGUCCAAAUUUAAAUGGUCAUUUUUGCAAAAUUUUGAUCAUUAUCUAUUUGUUAUCAAGGGUGAGGUUGAGGAUCUGGAAAAAGCAAUAUUAAUGUCAUCCAAAUUUAUGAGGUUACUCUUAACAUAAACUUCCGCACUAAAGAAGUCUGAAUAGGCUUCUAUCUAAACCUGGUCGUUCGCUUAUUUAGGAUUACAAACUGUGGUGUGAAAGACACUACCCCUAUUUAACAUCGUUUCUCUAACCUUAAUCUCUACAAAUGAUUUACUGAGUGUAUAUUAGUUUUAUUAUAUCAUGCUGUUUGGAAGUUUCACACUCAUAUGUGCUUCUUAAAUUUCGAUGAAGGUUAUAUUUCACAUUUUGCAUUUUAUAACUAUGAUGUGUACUAGUACUAAAAAAUGUUAUCCCCUUUAUGUAGCCUGUCCUUACUUUCUUUUGUAAUAAAAGAUCAAAUCCCUAUUUAUUUUUGCACAAUUUCGUUAGAUAUUUGUUCAUAUACCAAUAUCUGUUUUAUUGCAAAAGCUUGGCCCUUUAUUUAUCCGAAUCAAUUAUACAAGUUUCUCUGCAGCAAACACCCUCUGAAGGACAUGGUAAUGUCACUGCCAAAUUGUAAGCAAGCUAUUAUAGUCUUCAACUUGAUUGGUAAGAAGUUUUUCUUUGUCAUUCAACUUUCAAAUAUCACUGGAUAUUCUGAACUAGCUGGGAUGACUAUCAGAAUUUAUUCAAUACAUUUUUUUAUGCUUAUCUUAGAAUUGAAAUUGUUAUUUUCAUUGCACGAAAUCAUAUUUCACCAACAAACGAAUCAGUUUGGGUUGAUGUACUGUUAUUGUUAUUUAUAGGCUAUAGCCCAUUAUGACGUUUUGACAAAAACUUAGCUCUAAGAGAAGAAAAUUUAACUUCCUAACUUUGCUUGAUAUGAUUCGUGCAAAAUUAUCAAUUUAAUUAGUCACAAAAUAAAAAAUGUUAAAAAAAAAAUCCUCAAAAUAAAUUUGCUUCACCAACUGGAAUAUUGACAGCCCGAUGUUCUCCCCUCUUUAUAAGAAUUAACCAUCCCAAGAUUAUUUUUAUUUAUUUCUCCUAAUUCGUAUAUUUGAUGAAUAGUUUUAUACUAUAUAUUGUAAUGUUAAAAAUAUAUUACAUUAUCAAUCAAGCUUAACUGUUGAUCAUUGUCACACAUAUUAAUAAUUGUGUAAAACUUUUUAAACUAAUUUUGUAUGACAAUUAUUUGUAUUGUCUUAUAGUUAGUUGUAGAUGAGACCUACUGUUUGCUGAUUAGGACUUCAAAGGGAUUAGCAUUAGACAAAAAUGAAAGAUUUCCUAACGGAGUUGUAGCUGCACAAGUUACUGAAGUAGAAUGAUCUUGAUUCAAACAUAGGAUGUCUGUCUUCGACUUGAACAAGCAACAAAAUAGGAUGUCUGUCUUCGACUUGAACAAGCAACAAAAUAGGAUGUCUGUCUUCGACUUGAACAAGCAACAAAAUAUGAAACAAGAACUAAACUGAUAUUUAGUUUUAUAAUUUAUUUUUAUUUGUUGUACCAAAAAAACAAGUUAUUUUCAUUUGUAAUGAUCUCCCCUUCUUGUGUUCGAUCUGUAUUGAGCUUUGGAUAUCAGGUUAAGAUUUUCUUUCACAAA
Cicer arietinum (chickpea) is the source of this 2509-nucleotide non-coding RNA. NCBI's taxonomy places the organism in Eukaryota, Viridiplantae, Streptophyta, Magnoliopsida, Fabales, Fabaceae. The record is from RefSeq and is a predicted model, not a curated record.